GGAAUGGAUAUAGCUCAGUGGUAGAGCGCAUGCUUAGCAUGCAUGAGGUCCUGGGUUCAAUCCCCAGUACCUCCA
This 75-nucleotide transfer RNA is filed under the name Vicugna pacos (alpaca). RNAcentral describes it as "tRNA-Ala (AGC) (tRNA-Ala-AGC-819-1)". It matches the Rfam family "tRNA". Rfam says of the family: Transfer RNA (tRNA) molecules are approximately 80 nucleotides in length. Their secondary structure includes four short double-helical elements and three loops (D, anti-codon, and T loops). The record is from RNAcentral. Lineage: Eukaryota; Metazoa; Chordata; Mammalia; Artiodactyla; Camelidae.